UAAGAGCUCUCCUUAAGAAACGCAUUGUAUUGUUGUGUGUAGCCCUCUCCGCCUUCAGCGUCUCUUAACGCAGAGAGGGAUUCCUCCGUUUCUCCACAUGUGCUCCAGGUAAGGAAUGCAGAAUUCUGCUCUGUUAACAGAGCCCAACCCAGUCUCUGUGAGGUACUGCACCAGCGUAGAAGACAUAGACCCACAUCCAAGGUGUUGCUUGGAGCCUGGACUGGUUCCAAGCGCUGCUUACUAUCCCAUAUCAUCACCUAUCCAGCAGCCCAGACAGCAGGCCAAAACAAAGCCUGGUCUUUGAUGCGGUGCAAGUAUAUUUGUGUUUAUAUAGCCCUCUCAAGCAUUACCACCUCAUCAGAUAACUCCUUUACGGGCUAGUACUGUACAAAGCCUGGUCCGUCAAGGAGUUAUGUGGCAACUGAGCAUGGAGGUUGCUGGUAUUUUAUGGAUACUUGAUGUUCUUUCUGUGUUCUGAAAUAGCAAACAUUCCUGUUGUAUUUUACCACUUAAAUAUCAACAUGUUUGCAAAUGUGGAUAUGUGCAAAUGAAAAUGCUAAUACAGGUUAUUCUGUUACCAGACCAAUGUACUGUCCCAGUAAAAAUAAAAGAUAUUGGUGUA
Long non-coding RNA from Colossoma macropomum (tambaqui), 622 nucleotides. RefSeq lists it as uncharacterized. The record is from RefSeq and is a predicted model, not a curated record. The transcript is spliced from 2 exons. NCBI's taxonomy places the organism in Eukaryota, Metazoa, Chordata, Actinopteri, Characiformes, Serrasalmidae.